CAGUUUCGAUUUGUGUCGGACUGAUAAAAUGGAUAUGGGUAUCGAUACCUCCUGCUGUCAUGAUCAUACCAGCCCCACCGUGUACUUCAGUAGACGGACCGAUGAUCAUACCUUUGGUAACUCCAUCCUGUACAUCCGGAUUACCGGCCUUACCAACACCUACAAUCUUACCGUCUUUGAUACCGACAUCGGCCUUUACAAUACCCCAAUGAUCAAUAAUAAUGACAUUGUUGAUACAGAAAUCCAACACAUCCUCAUCCCGCAAAGCACGUGCAGACUGUCCCAUUCCGUCACGG
This 296-nucleotide small RNA is filed under the name Sphingobacterium spiritivorum ATCC 33861. Its description in RNAcentral is "5' ureB small RNA". It matches the Rfam family "5' ureB small RNA". Lineage: Bacteria; Pseudomonadati; Bacteroidota; Sphingobacteriia; Sphingobacteriales; Sphingobacteriaceae. The record is from Rfam by way of RNAcentral.